CCCUGGGUGGCUUAGUCAGUUAAGCCUCUGACUUCAGCUCAGGUCAUGAUCUCAUUGUUCGUGGGUUCGAGCCCUGCAUCGGGGU
RNAcentral lists this transfer RNA (85 nucleotides) under Felis catus (domestic cat). It matches the Rfam family "tRNA". Rfam says of the family: Transfer RNA (tRNA) molecules are approximately 80 nucleotides in length. Their secondary structure includes four short double-helical elements and three loops (D, anti-codon, and T loops). The record is from Rfam by way of RNAcentral. Lineage: Eukaryota; Metazoa; Chordata; Mammalia; Carnivora; Felidae. RNAcentral also lists the same sequence under 2 other names.